AAGCCAACUCUAGCCCUACCACAACCAUAACAUAACAACAAAACCCCACUCAGUACAUAAACUAAAACAUUCUAUAAACCUAGUAUAGGAGAUAGAAAAGUAACCAUAAGGCGCCAUAGAGAUCUCGUACCGUAAGGGAAAGAUGAAAUACUAGUGAAAACCAAAGCAACAAGUAGCAAAGAUUACCCCUUGUACCUUUUGCAUCAUGAUUUAGCAAGAACACCCAAGCAAAGUGCCCUUAAGUCUGCCCCCCCGAAACUCAAGCGAGCUACUUGCAAGCAGCUACCAUGAGCGAACCCGUCUCUGUUGCAAAAGAGUGGGAUGACUUGCCAGUAGAGGUGAAAAGCCUAACGAGCUGAGUGAUAGCUGGUUGUCCACAAAACGGGUUUAAGCCCCCCCUUGACUACUCCGAAUGGAGAACAAAUAAACCCUAAAUGUAGAACUCAAGAGUAAUUUAAAGGGGGUACAGCCCCUUUAAAAAAGAACUCAACCUUACCUAGUGGAUAAGCCAACCCUACAUUCAACCUGUGGGCCCUCAAGCAGCCACCAACAAAGAGUGCGUCAAAGCUCGCAACCCAAAAAAUAUGAAAACACUACGAAUCCCUUAAUGCUAGUGGACUAACCUAUGCCUAUAGGAGCAUUAAUGCUAGAAUGAGUAAUUUGGGAUUUUUCCCUCUAGGCGCAAGCUUACACAACAAUUAACAGACCUGAUACAUCCAACCCAUGACCAAGUAUUAAACCCACUGUUGACCCCACACCGGAGCGCCCAUAAGAAAGAUUUAAACCUGCAAAAGGAACUAGGCAAACUACAGGCCCGACUGUUUACCAAAAACAUAGCCUUCAGCAAAACAAGUAUUGAAGGUGAUGCCUGCCCAGUGACAUCACGUUUAACGGCCGCAGUAUCCUAACUGUGCGAAGGUAGCGCAAUCAAUUGUCCCAUAAAUCGGGACUUGUAUGAACGGCUAAACGAGGUCUUAACUGUCUCUUGCAGGUAAUCAAUGAAAUUGAUCUCCUCGUGCAAAAGCGAGGAUGAGCCCAUAAGACGAGAAGACCCUGUGGAACUUAAAGAUCAGGGGCCACCUGACACCAACUACAACCUACUAGGAAUACCAAUUUACCCACGCUGGCUCCCAUCUUUUGGUUGGGGUGACCUUGGAGAAAAAUAAAACCUCCAAACACAGGAUCAAAAAUCCUUACUAAGAGCAACCCCUCAACGUACUACAAAGCAACCAGACCCAAUACAAUUGAUCAAUGGACCAAGCUACCCCAGGGAUAACAGCGCAAUCCCCCUCAAGAGCCCAUAUCGACAGGGGGGUUUACGACCUCGAUGUUGGAUCAGGACACCCUAAUGGUGCAGCCGCUAUUAAGGGUUCGUUUGUUCAACGAUUAAUAGUCCUACGUGAUCUGAGUUCAGACCGGAGUAAUCCAGGUCGGUUUCUAUCUAUGCAUGUAUUUUUCCCAGUACGAAAGGACCGGAAAAAUAGGGCCAACACUACUAAGCGCGCCCUCCCCCCAAGCAAUGAAACCAACUAAACUACCUAAAGGGGCCAAACUCACUCCAACACAUCCUAUAAAAGGAC
RNAcentral lists this ribosomal RNA (1580 nucleotides) under Upupa epops (Eurasian hoopoe). RNAcentral's name for it is "16S ribosomal RNA". It matches the Rfam family "Bacterial large subunit ribosomal RNA". The record is from RNAcentral. Lineage: Eukaryota; Metazoa; Chordata; Aves; Bucerotiformes; Upupidae.